GACCAACAUGCACCUGCAGAAGUCCUGGGCCGUGUCCAGCAGCCUGCAGAAGGCACCACAGGGAGAAGGCCCUGGUGGCCUGGAUCGGUGAUAGACACAAGGCUCCGCAGAGGAGGCCUGGAAGUGUGGGUGAGGGAUAGCCCGAACAAAGGCAGGAAGGGUGAGGCAGAAGGUGCAGGUGCAGAGACCCAGCUGCCAGGCAGCUGCAGAGUGCAGGGCCUGUCCCCAGGUGCAGGGAGCAGUGGACAGCCCUCCAGCUUGAGAGCAUGCCUCUGGGUUCCCCUCAGGGGAAACCGCAUCCUGUCUACCCAGCCUGUCCACAGAUUCUCCCUCCCCAGCGGCCCUGGCUCUCCUCACCCCUGCUUGCUUGGCUGCUCAGCUGGGCUUCAGGCCACAUCUGGAAGUCCUUGGCUGACAGCAGAAGCCUCUGCCGUCUGCACCCAGCAGAGAAAGCAAACAGCUGGGAGGGGCUUGAAAGGGUCCCCCAGUCCUGGCCCCAGGAAGGAGCCAGCUGGGAGUAUGAGGUGGGAUAUGAAAUGUGAGAGCGAGGACAGGAAGCUGAGAGGACAAGCAGAUCCUGGGGUGGGGGUGGGGUGCCCGUAUCUCUGCAGUGGAGGAGGGGGCCUGCCCCAGCUCCAGCAGGGGCCAGCGGGACAGGCAGCUGUGACAGGGGAGCCUUGGGUCACCUUGGCCACAGCUCUGUGGAGGACACAGAGGCUCAGAGGGGUUGAAGGGCACCCCAGAGGGAAUGGCACAGUUCUCUCUGGAACUCUCCUUGGCCAUCAUGGUGACACUGAGGCUUUGGGGGAGGGAGCCACUGAGAGUUGGCUGCAGGAGUGGGGCCCCUGGGGGACCAGGGGUUGGGGGUAUACAUCUCAAACCCUUAGAGGGUGUGACCAUCAGGAGGCCACGUGUGAAAACGCCACCCUCCAGCGAGGUCUGAGCUCUUGCCUUCCCUUCUCAGCUCCUCCCUUAAACGCAAGCUCAGCUCGGCAGCCAGAACACUCAGAUUUCUAG
This 1017-nucleotide long non-coding RNA is filed under the name Oryctolagus cuniculus (rabbit). RNAcentral's name for it is "lncRNA (ENSOCUG00000034086.1)". Lineage: Eukaryota; Metazoa; Chordata; Mammalia; Lagomorpha; Leporidae. The record is from RNAcentral.